Molecule: ribosomal RNA, 425 nt
Filed under: uncultured bacterium
Lineage: Bacteria
Description: bacterial SSU rRNA
Rfam family: Bacterial small subunit ribosomal RNA
Source: RNAcentral
GUGGGGAAUAUUGGACAAUGGGGGCAACCCUGAUCCAGCAAUGCCGCGUGUGUGAAGAAGGUUUUCGGAUUGUAAAGCACUUUCGGCGGGGACGAUGAUGACGGUACCCGCAGAAGAAGCCCCGGCUAACUUCGUGCCAGCAGCCGCGGUAAUACGAAGGGGGCUAGCGUUGCUCGGAAUGACUGGGCGUAAAGGGCGUGUAGGCGGUUUGCACAGUCAGGUGUGAAAUUCCUGGGCUUAACCUGGGGGCUGCAUUUGAUACGUGUAGACUAGAGUAUGAGAGAGGGUUGUGGAAUUCUCAGUGUAGAGGUGAAAUUCGUAGAUAUUGGGAAGAACACCGGUGGCGAAGGCGGCAACCUGGCUCAUAACUGACGCUGAGGCGCGAAAGCGUGGGGAGCAAACAGGAUUAGAAACCCCAGUAGUCC